CUGGUUGAUCCUGCCAGUAGUCAUAUGCUUGUCUCAAAGAUUAAGCCAUGCAUGUCUCAGUACAAGCCAAAUUAAGGUGAAACCGCGAAAGGCUCAUUAAAUCAGUUAUGGUUCCUUAGAUCGUACCCACAAUUACUUGGAUAACUGUGGUAAUUCUAGAGCUAAUACAUGCAAACAGAGCUCCGACCGGAGACGGAAGGAGUGCUUUUAUUAGAUCAAAACCAAUCGGUGGCGGGUUCGCUCGUCAUCGUACAACUUGGUGACUCUGAAUAACUUUACGCUGAUCGCACGGUCAUCGCACCGGCGACGCAUCUUUCAAAUGUCUGCCUUAUCAACUGUCGAUGGUAGGUUCUGCGCCUACCAUGGUUGUAACGGGUAACGGGGAAUCAGGGUUCGAUUCCGGAGAGGGAGCCUGAGAAACGGCUACCACAUCCAAGGAAGGCAGCAGGCGCGCAAAUUACCCACUCCCGGCACGGGGAGGUAGUGACGAAAAAUAACGAUACGGGACUCAUCCGAGGCCCCGUAAUCGGAAUGAGUACACUCUAAACCCUUUAACGAGGAUCAAUUGGAGGGCAAGUCUGGUGCCAGCAGCCGCGGUAAUUCCAGCUCCAAUAGCGUAUAUUAA
RNAcentral lists this ribosomal RNA (625 nucleotides) under Conotrachelus sp. group 4 MB-2015. RNAcentral's name for it is "SSU rRNA". It matches the Rfam family "Eukaryotic small subunit ribosomal RNA", at positions 4 to 607 of the family's 1831-position model. The record is from RNAcentral. Lineage: Eukaryota; Metazoa; Arthropoda; Insecta; Coleoptera; Curculionidae.